CAGUAGCCGCGGGAAUACGGAGGGUGCGAGCGUUAAUCGGAAUAGCUGGGCGUAAAGGGCACGCAGGCGGUGACUUAAGUGAGGUGUGAAAGCCCCGGGCUUAACCUGGGAAUUGCAUUUCAUACUGGGUCGCUAGAGUACUUUAGGGAGGGGUAGAAUUCCACGUGUAGCGGUGAAAUGCGUAGAGAUGUGGAGGAAUACCGAAGGCGAAGGCAGCCCCUUGGGAAUGUACUGACGCUCAUGUGCGAAAGCGUGGGGAGCAAACAGGAUUAGAUACCCCAGUAGUCCCUGUCUCUUAUAU
RNAcentral lists this ribosomal RNA (301 nucleotides) under uncultured bacterium. RNAcentral describes it as "partial 16S ribosomal RNA". It matches the Rfam family "Bacterial small subunit ribosomal RNA", at positions 509 to 809 of the family's 1533-position model. The record is from RNAcentral.